AUUGAACGCUGGCGGCAGGCCUAACACAUGCAAGUCGAGCGAGCGGCGGACGGGUGAGUACUGUCUGGGAAACUGCCUGAUGGAGGGGGAUAACUACUGGAAACGGUAGCUAAUACCGCAUACCAUCAGAUGUGGCCAGAUGGGAUUAGCUAGUGGGUGGGGUAACGGCUCACCUAGGCGGCGAUCCCUAGCUGGUCUGAGAGGAGGACCAGCCACACUGGAACUGAGACACGGUCCAGACUCCUACGGGAGGCAGCAGUGGGGAAUAUUGCACAAUGGGCGCAAGCCUGAUGCAGCCAUGCCGCGUGUGUGAAGAAGGCCUUCGGGUUGUAAAGCACUGUCAGCGGGGAAGCGUUACCCGCAGAAGAAGCACCGGCUAACUCCGUGCCAGCAGCCGCGGUAAUUC
RNAcentral lists this ribosomal RNA (406 nucleotides) under uncultured bacterium. RNAcentral's name for it is "partial 16S ribosomal RNA". It matches the Rfam family "Bacterial small subunit ribosomal RNA", at positions 29 to 526 of the family's 1533-position model. The record is from RNAcentral.